GAUGAACGCUGGCGGCGUGCUUAACACAUGCAAGUCGAACGGAAAGGCCAUGCUCUUGUGGGGUGCUCGAGUGGCGAACGGGUGAGUAACACGCGAGUAACCCGCCCUUGACUUUGGGAUAACUUUAGGAAACUGGGGCUAAUACCGGAUAGGAGCUCUUGCAGCAUGGUGGGGGUUGGAAAGUUUCGGCGGUUCGGGAUGGAUUGGCGGCUUAUCGGCUUGUUUGUGGGGUAGUGGCGUACCAAGGCUUUGAAGGGUAGCCGGCCUGAGAGGGUGACCAGCGACAAUGGGACUGCGAGACGGCCCAGACGGCUACGGGCGGCAGCAGUCGGGAAUAUUGCAGAGUGGGCGGGAGCCUGAUGUAGCAACGCCGCGUGCGGGAUGCCCUCCUUCGGGUUGAAAACAGCUUUCGCCUGUGAUGAAGCGUGAUUGACGGUACUGGGUAAAGAAGCACCGGCUAACUACGUG
RNAcentral lists this ribosomal RNA (468 nucleotides) under uncultured bacterium. RNAcentral describes it as "partial 16S ribosomal RNA". It matches the Rfam family "Bacterial small subunit ribosomal RNA", at positions 28 to 507 of the family's 1533-position model. The record is from RNAcentral.